UAUGUGACACUGAAAAAGGACAAAGCCAAAUAAAAAACAGAAAGGAUAGACAUCUUCUCCUUCUUACGUGUUCCAUUUCGUCUUCAACAUCUCUCUCUAGGGCUUCUUCGACUUGCUCAAAAUCCCCAAUUCAAACCAUGUGGCGCUAUUUCUCCACUGUUUUUGAAUGCCACAUCGGUUUCCCAAGACUUACCCCGGUCAAUUGUAAAAUCAAAUCAUAUUCCCAAAUGAGAAAUAGUAAUGGUCAAGGUUUAUUAAAUGGGCAUCUAGUUGGAUCCUUGACGAAGAUGUAUGAAACUUCAUGUGAGAAGUUAUCAGAAGAUACACCAAAAGAUAAUUCUGUUUCUGAUAUGCUGGUUGACUCCUUCGGAAGGCUACACACUUACUUGAGAAUUUCUUUGACAGAGCGUUGUAAUUUACGGUGUCAGUACUGUAUGCCAGCUGAGGGUUUAGAACUCACUCCUAGUCCUCAACUUCUCUCGCAAAGUGAAAUUAUCCGUCUGGCAAAUCUCUUCAUCAGCUCUGGGGUGGACAAAAUUCGUUUGACUGGUGGGGAGCCAACCACUAGGAAGGAUAUUGAAGAAAUAUGCUUACAGCUGUCUAACUUGAAAGGGCUAAAGACCUUGGCCAUGACUACAAAUGGGAUCACUCUAGCAAGGAAACUUCCAAAGUUAAAAGAAUGCGGAUUGAGUGCGUUGAAUAUUAGCUUAGACACAUUGAUCCCUGCAAAAUUUGAAUUUAUGACCAGGCGAAAAGGGCAUGCAAGGGUAAUGGAGUCGAUUAAUGCUGCCAUAGACCUUGGAUACAAUCCUGUUAAAGUGAAUUGUGUUGUAAUGCGUGGAUUCAAUGAUGAUGAAAUUUGUGAUUUUGUGGAGUUGACUCGUGAGAAAUCAAUUAAUGUCCGGUUUAUUGAGUUUAUGCCUUUUGAUGGAAAUGUCUGGAAUGUCAAGAAGCUUGUACCCUACUCAGAAAUGUUGGAUAGAGUGGUUAAACAGUUUACAGGGCUAAAGAGAAUCCAAGGCCAUCCCACAGAUACGGCCAAGAAUUUCAGGAUAGAUGGGCAUCAGGGCACUGUCUCUUUCAUAACAUCAAUGACUGAACAUUUUUGUGCUGGUUGCAAUAGGUUGCGACUUUUAGCUGAUGGGAACUUUAAAGUUUGCCUCUUUGGCCCCUCAGAGGUUAGCUUGAGGGAUCCCCUUCGUCGUGGUGCUGAUGAUAAUGAACUCAAGGAAAUAAUUGGGGCAGCGGUACACGUUCUUCUCGCGAUGAAAUUAAUUAUAUAGUCAAGAGGAAGAAAGCUUCUCAUGCUGGAAUGUUCGACAUUGCAAAGACACCCAAUAGACCUAUGACACACAUUGGAGGCUAGGGCUUGGCAUUCCUUUCCCAAAUACUGGAGGUUGAAGCCAAAAACAAGAAGAAAGAAACUAAGUAAUAGAGGAACCCACAGCCCCCACAAGCUGCUUCUCCUGCCAUAGCUUUUGGCCUAAACUCGUCAGAGCACUUCGCAGGACUUGGUUAUGUGACUGUGAAGCUAAAGCCACCUUGGCCAAGCUAUCGGCACAAUCAUUUGCUUCUCUAGGAAUGGUGGCAAUGUCACAACACCAAUCCCUAGCGUAGCUUGUGGAUGUUGUUCAUCAAAAUUGCGGAUCGCCGAUGUUUUCCUACACAUAGAAAGUGCAAUGAUAAUUUUUCAUUUGGAUCUCCUUUACGUGCUUGGAGGUCUAAUUUGGUGGUGCAAAGAAGAUCUGGAGCUAUUCAUUGUUGCAAUCAGUUGAUAUCACCUGAUAGAUACACAUAGAAAGAAAAACAAUAAUAAACAGAAGAAAUGAAUGACAGAUGGAUGGAAGGAAGAAAGAAAUGUUGCUAGCAAUGCUACUGCUUGUCUGUUAUUAGUCAGAAACUCGUUAACAAUGUCAGAAUCCCAUCCGUAAUAACUUUAGAUUUUGUUGUAUUCCAUGUAGCGUUGUCUUCAGUUUCUUUAGAGUAACUCUGAAAGAUUUUGUUACUUGUCUAUUUAUAUACAAAAAAUGGAAAUGUGUGCUUAUAUUUUAGUAAAGAAAAAAGACUUCAUGUCAGUGCCGGGCUCUGUUUGCUUUUA
This is an RNA transcript of Camellia sinensis, 2098 nucleotides long. It is a transcript of the gene named cofactor of nitrate reductase and xanthine dehydrogenase 2, with no coding region annotated. Lineage: Eukaryota; Viridiplantae; Streptophyta; Magnoliopsida; Ericales; Theaceae. The record is from RefSeq and is a predicted model, not a curated record.